GGUUGCUUCCUCCUCUGCCUGUAUUUCUUGGACAGUUGCUCUAAAGCUCGAUUGGAUUCAGGCUCAGUUCCUUCAGUAUAUUUGUGUUCGUGGGUGCCUACACUAGUGUGGGGCUACUCACUUCUGUGUCACAUGGAGAGGCCCAGCUUGCCUGGGGGUCCCACUUUCUGGAGCAUUGAGAGUGAGCCCUCCACUGAUUGUUGGACCAACAGCACCUGUAGCCCCCCAAGGUGAGGUUGGUGAGAUGGGGCAUGUUGGCCCCUGUCAGCAGUGGCUCUAGGUAUUGUUCAUGGUGUUCUUUGGGGCCCCCUCACUUUCCUGUUGGAGGGACUGCGUGAAGACCCCAUACCACUGUGUCUGGCUCCCACUCUACCUGCUCCAGCUGCAAGGUAGGCACUCACUGGCACCUUUUGUUGCAGACACCAAGAAGACGAGAAAGAAGCCAAGACAGAAGAAACCAGAACCCAACCUCUUGUGGGACCGGUUGACCUCCCCAUGCCUGCCACCAACCCUGCUGCCACCUCUGCCGCUACCACCACCAUGGUCUCCGUGGUGACCUCAUCACCCCCUGGCACCUGGGGCUGCCUUGCUUGCCUAAAGCCAACAUUGAAUAAUAUUCCAUUGCCUGGAUAUGCCACAUUUUAUCAUUCGCCCAAUGAAGGAUAUCCUGGUUGCCUCCAAGUUUUGCAAUUAUGAAUAAAGCAGUAUAAACAUC
Molecule: long non-coding RNA, 715 nt
Filed under: Homo sapiens (human)
Lineage: Eukaryota; Metazoa; Chordata; Mammalia; Primates; Hominidae
Description: PREDICTED lncRNA (TCONS_00176190)
Source: RNAcentral